Molecule: ribosomal RNA, 307 nt
Filed under: uncultured bacterium
Lineage: Bacteria
Description: partial 16S ribosomal RNA
Rfam family: Bacterial small subunit ribosomal RNA
Source: RNAcentral
AGACACAGUCGCCGCGGUAAUACGAAGGGUGCAAGCGUUAAUCGGAAUUACUGGGCGUAAAGCGUGCGUAGGCGGUUUGUUAAGUCUGCAGUGAAAUCCCCGGGCUCAACCUGGGAAUGGCAGUGGAUACUGGCAAGCUAGAGUGUGUCAGAGGAUGGUGGAAUUCCCGGUGUAGCGGUGAAAUGCGUAGAGAUCUGGAGGAAUACCGGUGGCGAAGGCGGCCCCCUGGACAAAGACUGACGCUCAGGUGCGAAAGCGUGGGGAGCAAACAGGAUUAGAUACCCCAGUAGUCCCUGUCUCUUAUACC